AUUAUAAACCUCGCCACUGCCCCUUCACUUUUUUCCACAUAAAAAUUUCCGUUGUUUCUCUCUUCUUUCAUUCUGUCGAUGGGGAAUUCUCAAAAGCUCUCUUCAAACAUGAAAUCUAGACACAAAUUUCCACUCCGAGACUUUCACAAAAGCGAAGACCAAAACGGAAGCUUUGAAUUUGGGACGAGUUUUGUGGUGGUGUUGAAGGGAGGUGGUGGUUGAUGGGAAUUUGGUGCUAUCCUACCUGAGCUUUUUCUUCGUAUUUCUAUAUUCGUUCCUACCGUAUUCUUUCAUCUUCUACUACUUAUCGAUCCCUUCCCUUCUUCUUGACCUUGUAAGACCUUUUCUUGACCUUGUAAGACGUCACGCCGGGUCUGUUGUCUUUGUUUUGUGUUUUGGUUCAAGCUUUGUGUCGGAAUUCACUGAUAUAGAGUUUGGCCUCCGUUCCUCAUCGUUACCGACCAACUCUUCUUCUCCUUCCUUGUCUAUCCCUCCUGAGCUGUUCCACAAUUACCUCAAACUAGAAGCCCACCAUAGCAAAUCCUCAAUCAAAGCAAGGACUCUUUUGCCGGUGGUCCUCCAAGUAGGGUUGUAAAAAAUGUAGAAAUUCAGAAAUAUUAAUGAGUAGUGACAUACAUAUAUGUUGUUUUUAUUCAGUGGGAAAUAAAUAAAAAUAAAAUUUUAUUUAUUUAGUUUUGUUAUUAUUGCCUGCAGCUGUUACUUAUUCUGUGAAGGCAAUCAAUUGGAAAUGUAUUAUUGUUGUGAGUGCAGAAAUACUGAAAUAUGCUGUUGGCAGUCAUCAGUUUCGUUGUUUUAUAUGUUGUUGGCUGAGAAAGUAAGAGAAUAAAUAUUCUCUCAGAUCUGUGCAAGACUUCCCACUCGUGACUGCUGCUCUCCUUUCCGACCCUAAGUCAACAAGGUUCACUACUUUACGAAGGUCGGGAGGGAUCAUAUCAUAGUAGGCCUUAUUCUUACUUAUAAAGAAGUUGUUUCCACGACUCGAAUCCGCAACUUUAACUUUUCUGAUGCUCCUAUCUUUAUGUACAAAUUAAAAUAAAAUCAACUGUAUUAUUGGAGGAGACCCUCUUUUUCCUUUUUUCUACAAGUUCUUCAUCCAAAAGCUGAUGUCCCUUUUUUCUUUUUUGUUGAUUUUUU
RNAcentral lists this small RNA (1155 nucleotides) under Malus domestica (apple). RNAcentral describes it as "sRNA MD16G0131200". Lineage: Eukaryota; Viridiplantae; Streptophyta; Magnoliopsida; Rosales; Rosaceae. The record is from RNAcentral.